UGUUGAGAUGUUAAGUAUUAUUGUGUUGAGGCAUUGUGGGUUCUCCUGGACUUUCUGUUUGAGUCAUUGGUUCUCUUGGAGAAGUUUUGGUCCUCACAUCGAGCAUUGCUUCCUGGCUCUGGAGAGGAAGACGUGUGCUGCUUGGUCUCCAGGAUGAACUCAUCAUGCUGGCAUCAUGGCAUGUGUCUGACUGUGUUUGUCAUCAGAGGAGCUUGGGCCUCCAUUUUGCUGAAGAUGGCUGUGGUGCCUUUCAGGACAGCCCUGGGCUUUGUUGUGAGUGUGACUUCUUGGCUCCAGUGUAGAACCCUCAUCCCACCACCAUAGCUCCUUCACCCUGCUGGCAUGGACUUUCUGGUUUACACCGCUGACCUUUGGGCCUUCCUGUCAUGGAUCCAUAAAAGAGACAGGUGUGAGUCCUUGUGGGCUCUGGACAUCCAGUUGGACUCAUGAGAGGAAGUACUUACCAUGAUUCUUGCCAGUAUGAGAGGAGCAACCUUACAGGAGAAAAGAAAAGAAAAGAAAAGAAAAGAAAAGAAAAGAAAAGAAAAGAAAAGAAAAGAAAAGAAAAGAAAAGAAAAGAAAAGACCACUAGAGAGACAGAUAACGAUCCUGUGGAUAUGGUGCUCAUGGUGCCCAACAGGAGCUCAGUGAAGGCUGCUGCCUGGAACCAUAAGAGAGACUUUCUCUGAACAUACGUGGUCAGCACUGUGUCCUCAACCACCUGAUCCCCGGAUCUGUGGUAUUCAUCUUCCAGCUCUGCCCCAAAGUAAAAUCAGCCAUUUAACACUGAAUCCACACAGGAUAUCAAGGCGGCUGUGAGAGGACAAUUAAAGUCACUCAUGAGCCAGGGAUGUAACUCAGCAGCAUACGUACCUGCCUGGCCAGUCCGUAAAGUCCUUUGUUUUCUACAGUCUGUGAUCCAGAGGUCAUGCAUGAGUCCUCCUGAGCAAGAUAGAGGGAGCCAGAAAAAGAUUGGUGAGGAUAAACUCAAAACUUUCCACAACUAAACAUCAAGAAUGGCACCCCUUGCUCAAGCAAGUCACUUCUCCUGGGGCCCUGUUACAGCUGUGGGAUCCUCACAGAAUCAUGGAGCCAGGGACCAGGAACUGUCAUGAGCCAACAGAAGGCCACACGAGGCCCACUGUGCUCCACAGGCCACUGUCAUGAGGGGGAGGAGCUCACUCUUUUUCAUAUUUCAUAAACUAUUUCCAGAAUAAAGGUUUCCAAUGUAUUUCAAACUGCUUACUUAUCCUUCAUCCUCUCUCUCUCUCUCUCUCUCUCUCUCUCUCUCUCUCUCUCUCUGUCUCUGUCUCUGUCUCUUUUU
Molecule: long non-coding RNA, 1324 nt
Organism: Cavia porcellus (domestic guinea pig)
Lineage: Eukaryota; Metazoa; Chordata; Mammalia; Rodentia; Caviidae
Exons: 4
Source: RefSeq, a predicted model, not a curated record